CAAAGUACUACUGCUAUGUUCAUAUUUUUUUUUGGUACUGCUCCUAUUUUUUGCCUUUGUUUUGCUGAGGUUCUUUUCCAACCACCUCAAGAACAACUACAUGUUGCUUUGCAUUCAAAUUGAAUUUGUGCCUAUGCAUGAACAUCGACAUCUCAGAGCUCUUGAUUUAUCAAAAUUAUCUUUUAAUCUUUCCCUUUUCUCAUCCAUCCUCCAUAGACGAUAUUCGGGUCUAUCAAGCCCAAGAACCACUGCGACGUGAUUUUAGCAUUUCAUGUGAGUCCAUUUGAAUAUUCUUUUCUCCUCUGGCUCGAUAUGUCAAUAAAAAUACAUGCAUGGACCUGUAGUUUGGAAAUUUCAAAAUUUUCAAUUUGACUUUCGAAAUGUUUCAACUGCGUGUUUUAUUUCAUGAGUGACUUCAUUUUGUGAAUAUAAUUUUAGAUACUUCGUUAUGUAACACGAGUCAUAUCGUCGGAACAAUUGCAUCAUAUAAAAAUAACUUUCUUUACGUCAUUAUUGUAACCUUUUAUUCCUUACAUUUUUCUUAGAGUUACAUUUCUAAGACAUACCAGAUGUUUGAGAAAAUGUCAAAAUAAGAAAGUAUUUGAGUAUCUAACUUCUCUUAUAUAAUUUACAGUAAAAUAGGAAAGCUUUUAACAUUUGAGAAUAUGAUAAAUGAAGAAAACAUUCACAAAGCUAAAUGUUGUAAUUGAUCUUCAUUUUCCUUGAAAAGGUUUAAUUUCUUUCUGCCAAACAUCAGUCGAUUAAUUUGCAUUACUUUAAUUUGAUUGCAUGUUCUGAUUUCUGAUUAUUGCUUGUAAAUUAUGUACUAUGAUAAAUGGUUAUAGUUUGUCUAAAGCUUAACAUUCUGACAAAUUUCUAGCAAUGAGAAUAGUUAUAAAGAAAGCUCAAAAUUAAGCUUAAAGAAUCCUAGCUACAUAUAUAUUAUGUGCGACACAAAAUCGACAAAUAUACUUACCCUUCGAUAGUGAUUCUGCAUCAUCUUUGAAACUUAAACAUGGUACUUUCUAAACCGGGAGCAAAACAAAAAUAUGGAUGAUUAUGAGACAUUGAAGAGGUAGGAAUUUAGUUAUUUCUGAAUGUUACUUAUCCCUACUCCUUCCCAUUUGUCUUUCUAUCGUCUAACAAUCCUAUAUUGUGCUAUUUUUUUUUAAUAUCGGAGUUAAAAUAAUGUUUACCUUGCAGGUGCUAUAUAAUGCUGAUAGGUAGAGUUUUGUUAUUCCUUUACUUCCAACAUGUACCAUUCAUUAUGAUUUUUGGUAAUAUUAGAGUAAAAUGCCCGCCUUGCUGAUAAUGUUGCAUGUGUGAUAAUAUUGAUAGGCUGGGAUAUGUUCCUGUUAAUGAUAUGGUUUGAAACAUGUAUAAUAUUUUUGCAUAGGGACUUCACUUGCAGUCUGAUAUUGUUAGUAUUACUUUUCCGAUUCUGCAUAUCUUGUGGUUUCUUGAAUGGAAAAAAGUGAUAACUAAGGUGAUGACUGUCGGUAGUUUUCAAUUUCUCUUUAUGACAUGCAUUUUUUCCCUUUCUUUGGAAUGAAAUACUAGACUUGAAAUUCUUUGAAUUUCUUCUUCAUUGAACUUCAAACCAAAUCAUGUAAUUCUUGGCUUCUUUAAUUUGCAACUCAACUUAUGCCACACGUGUAUUAUUUUUCAGACGUGAAUAUUUUAUGAGGAAUUUAGCCUACCAAGAUUCACUACAUCAAUGACCUCUUCCUAUGUGAGUUCUAGAAACUUAUAAUUUUUCCCAUCCAAAAAGUGGCUGCGGAUUUUUGUGCUUUCGAAAGUUGUUCCUCCUUUAAGAUAACCUUCUCCUUUAAGUAUGGCUUUCAAUACAUUUAGAAUCUACAAUGAUCCUUGAUAAUAAAACUUACAUCUAUAUUAAUGUCUUUGACGAUAAGAUCAUAGAAGAACCAUACAACAACUUAAUGUGAGAAAAGUCGAUAAAAGUAAUACAAUAUGUGUUCGACUCUCUUUUUUGUAAUAAUUGUUACAUGAGAAAGAUAUACUCCAACAUUAAAUAUUAAUUGAUGAAAAAAGGUGAUAGCAAUAUACUCUGGAUGAGAAAACUAUUUCUUCUUAAUUUCUUCAUUUUUCAUCCACAUUCCAAGAAUGUCCUACUAUCAACUGAUGGAUUUAAAUUACAUAGCCCGUUGUAAAGGUUAAGACAUUAGUUUUAAAGUUAUUGAAGUUAGUUUUUUGUUAACUUAAUUGUGCAAAUUUAUUUUUCUAUGCACAGGACAAUUCAAUACAUAGGAGAUGAAGGAAAAAAAGAGUGUUAUGGAAGAACGUCGGAGAGCCUCAGGUGGGAUUGACAUAAUUCAUAAGUCAUCUCUGUUGUUUCUUGACAAACUUAUACAUGGUCUUUAUUAUCAAUUGUUUUUAUCAUUGUUGAAACAAUGAAAGAUGUUUCUAAAAGUUGUAGCAUAGUCCUCAUGAUCGACCUUCCACAAACAAGUUGCACAUGGCUGGUCUAUGAGGUACACAAUUCGUUUUUCUUGAUGCAAUAGCUGGGAGAAUUGUAGUAGCC
RNAcentral lists this long non-coding RNA (2542 nucleotides) under Solanum tuberosum (potato). RNAcentral's name for it is "long non-coding RNA (STUB_LNC004780)". Lineage: Eukaryota; Viridiplantae; Streptophyta; Magnoliopsida; Solanales; Solanaceae. The record is from RNAcentral.